CCUACGGGAGGCAGCAGUGGGGAAUAUUGGACAAUGGGCGAAAGCCUGAUCCAGCAAUGCCGCGUGUGUGAAGAAGGCCUGCGGGUUGUAAAGCACUUUCAGUUGGGAGGAAGCAUUUUAGGUUAAGAGCUAAAGAUGUUGACGUUACCUACAGAAGAAGCACCGGCUAACUCUGUGCCAGCAGCCGCGGUAAUACAGAGGGUGCGAGCGUUAAUCGGAAUAACUGGGCGUAAAGGGUGCGUAGGCGGAACACUAAGUCAGAUGUGAAAGCCCCGGGCUUAACCUGGGAAUUGCAUUUGAAACUGGUGAUCUAGAGCAGAGAAGAGGAGAGUAGAAUUUCAGGUGUAGCAGUGAAAUGCGUAGAUAUCUGAAGGAAUACCGGUGGCGAAGGCGGCUCUCUGGUCUCAUGCUGACGCUGAGGCACGACAGCGUGGGGAGCAAACAGGAUUAGAUACCCCGGUAGUC
This 465-nucleotide ribosomal RNA is filed under the name uncultured bacterium. RNAcentral describes it as "bacterial SSU rRNA". It matches the Rfam family "Bacterial small subunit ribosomal RNA", at positions 338 to 795 of the family's 1533-position model. The record is from RNAcentral.